Oryza sativa Indica Group (long-grained rice) is the source of this 271-nucleotide microRNA precursor. It matches the Rfam family "MIR821 microRNA precursor family". Lineage: Eukaryota; Viridiplantae; Streptophyta; Magnoliopsida; Poales; Poaceae. The record is from Rfam.
GAUAUCAACUGAAAAAGUCAUCAACAACAAAGUUGAAUAACUCAUCAAGAUCUAAAACUUUUAUUUGUCAUUUCUUCAUACGACAAAGUGAUAGUAACAUUAUUCACAAAAUUGACAUAUCUCUUAUCUGGUUUUAUAAACUAUAACAUAUAUGUAAAAUUUGUGAAUAAUAUUACUAACAUUUCGUCAGAUGAAGAAAUAACAAAAAUAAAAGUUUUAGAUCUUGAUGAGUUAUUCAACUUUGUUGUUGAUGAUUUUUUCAAUUGAAAUC